RNAcentral lists this transfer RNA (84 nucleotides) under Prevotellaceae bacterium. Its description in RNAcentral is "tRNA-Leu". It matches the Rfam family "tRNA". From Rfam's summary of the family: Transfer RNA (tRNA) molecules are approximately 80 nucleotides in length. Their secondary structure includes four short double-helical elements and three loops (D, anti-codon, and T loops). The record is from RNAcentral. Lineage: Bacteria; Pseudomonadati; Bacteroidota; Bacteroidia; Bacteroidales; Prevotellaceae.
GCCCAGGUGGUGAAAUUGGUAGACACACCACUUUGAGGGGGUGGCGCCGGUUGCGGUGUGCAAGUUCGAGUCUUGUCCUGGGCA